UGGGGAAUCUUGGACAAUGGGCGCAAGCCUGAUCCAGCCAUUCCGCGUGGAUGAUGAAGGCCUUAGGGUUGUAAAAUCCUUUCAGCGGGGAAGAUAAUGACUGUACCCGCAGAAGAAGCCCCGGCUAACUCCGUGCCAGCAGCCGCGGUAAUACGGAGGGGGCUAGCGUUGUUCGGAAUUACUGGGCGUAAAGCGCGCGUAGGCGGAUCAGCCAGUCAGAGGUGAAAGCCCAGGGCUCAACCCUGGAACUGCCUUUGAUACUGUUGAUCUGGAGUUCGGUAGAGGUGUGUGGAAUUCCGAGUGUAGAGGUGAAAUUCGUAGAUAUUCGGAGGAACACCAGAGGCGAAGGCGACACACUGGACCGAUACUGACGCUGAGGCGCGAAAGCGUGGGGAGCAAACAGGAUUAGAUACCCCCGUAGUCC
RNAcentral lists this ribosomal RNA (424 nucleotides) under uncultured prokaryote. RNAcentral describes it as "bacterial SSU rRNA". It matches the Rfam family "Bacterial small subunit ribosomal RNA", at positions 355 to 796 of the family's 1533-position model. The record is from RNAcentral.